Molecule: RNA transcript, 5999 nt
Organism: Parus major (Great Tit)
Lineage: Eukaryota; Metazoa; Chordata; Aves; Passeriformes; Paridae
Gene: PRDM5
Gene name: PR/SET domain 5
Exons: 18
Source: RefSeq, a predicted model, not a curated record
CCCGCAUCCAGCCCCUCUCUUCCUGCCCCCCUCCCCCGGACUGCCGCUCGCCGCUCCCGGUGGGGAUGGAAGUCCCCCGUAAGCCUCUUCCUUCUCCCCGGUAGCAGGCGGCGGGGGCCCCGAGUUCGGUGCAAAAAUGCUGGGCAUGUACGUGCCGGAUAGGUUCGCCCUGAAGUCGUCCCGGGUGCAGGACGGGAUGGGGCUCUACACGGCCCGCAGAGUGAAGAAGGGUGAAAAGUUUGGCCCCUUUGCAGGGGAGAAGCGAAUGCCGCAGGAGCUGGAUGAGGACACAGACUGCAGGCUCAUGUGGGAAGUUCGUGGGAACAAAGGCGAGGUCCUUUAUGUCCUGGAUGCCAGCAACCCACGCCAUUCGAACUGGCUGCGGUUUGUCCAUGAGGCUCCAUCCCAGGAACAGAAGAACCUGGCAGCCAUCCAGGAAGGGGAAAAUAUUUUCUAUCUGGCUGUGGAAGAUAUUGAAACAGACACAGAACUUCUGAUUGGGUACUUGGACAGUGACAUGGAAGAAGAGGAGGAGGAGGAGGAGGAAGUAACAGUUAUCCAGGAAGAUGAAGAAAGUGGCAGCAAUAAAGAAGUGCAGCCAGCUGGUGAAAAGAUUGCAGAUCCCCUCACCUGUAAACAGGACCAUGCAUGCCCAAACUGUGAAUCCAGUUUUGCCAGCCAGGAGAUUCUAGCUGAGCACCUGCAGACUCUGCACCAAAAACCCAGUGAGGAAAAGGAAUUUAAGUGCCGAAAUUGUGGAAAGAAAUUCCCUGUUAAACAAGCUCUACAAAGACAUGUCCUGCAGUGCACAGAGAAUAUCAGCCCAGGAGACUCCUCAAGAAGUUUCCAGUGCUCUGUUUGCAAUAGUGCCUUCAGCUCGGAAUCGAGUUAUGAGCAGCACAAGGAGGCGUGCAGAGGGGAUGCCAGGUUCAUAUGCAAGGCAGAUAGCUGCGGGAAGAGGUUCAAGAGCAAGGAUGCCCUGAAAAAGCACAAAGAAAAUGUUCACAGUGGAAAUUCUAGGAAGAAGCUGAUGUGUUCAGUGUGCAAUAAGAAAUGUUCCUCAGCAGCAAAUCUCCAGGAGCAUCGAAAGGUCCAUGAGAUCUUUGAGUGUCAAGAAUGUGACAAGAAAUUCAUUUCGGCAAACCAGCUGAAACGCCAUAUGAUAACUCAUUCAGAAAAACGCCCCUACACCUGCGAGGUUUGCAAUAAGUCCUUCAAACGACUUGAUCAAGUGACUGCACACAAAAUAAUACACAGUGAAGAUAAACCUUAUAAAUGCAAGCUUUGUGGAAAGGGAUUUGCUCACAGAAAUGUUUACAAGAAUCACAAGAAGACCCAUUCUGAAGAGAGACCGUUCCAGUGUGAGGAAUGCAAAGCCUUGUUCCGAACCCCCUUCUCUCUACAAAGACAUCUGUUAAUCCACAACAGUGAGAGGACCUUCAAGUGUGAUCACUGUGAUGCCACUUUCAAAAGAAAGGACACAUUAAAUGUUCAUAUUCAAGUUGUACACGAUGGCCAUAAGAAAUACAAGUGUGACCUGUGUGACAAAGCUUUUGUGACACCCUCAGUCCUGAAGAGCCAUAAGAAAACUCACACAGGAGAAAAAGAGAAGAUUUGCCCGUAUUGUGGACAGAAGUUUGCAAGCAAUGGAACACUGAGAGUUCAUAUUCGAAGCCAUACAGGUGAGCGUCCUUACCAGUGUCCUUACUGUGACAAAGCUUUCAGCAAGAACGAUGGCUUGAAGAUGCACAUUCGCACCCACACCAGGGAAAAGCCGUACCAGUGCUCGGAGUGUAACAAGGCUUUCAGUCAGAAGCGGGGCCUGGACGAGCACAUGAGGACCCACACAGGGGAGAAGCCCUUCCAGUGUGAUCAAAAGCCUGGAGGUCCUUGGCAGCUGAGCUAGGGGCUGUACACACGUAAUAAGACAAGUGGUCUUCUCUGCAGUUCAAGAAGAGAGAAACAAGAGCUGGAAACCGAGAAGCAUUAUAUAAAGCACAGCAUGUGCUUGAUGAAGGAGGAUGUACUUCUGUUCAACAGCCCAUCCUUUAGUCGAAGGACUGCAGGCCUACUGGUGCUGACAGCAGAUGGCUCAGAAUAUUCUCACAGGAGAGCAUGAAGUAACUGGAGAGACUGGAUAAUUGCAUUCACGCUGUUGACUCUGAAGUCCAGAGCUGUUACAGGCUGUGAAGGAGCGCAAAGAAAAGAGUUGACCACGAUGGAUGUACAGCAGUAACGAGGUGAAAUUGCAGUGCCCUUUCCACAGAACUGAUAGCCUGUUAAAUAUUCCUCUGUAAACAGGAGUAAAUGAGCAGGCAGAGAUGCCUCAGACGUCUGGCAAAAAUGUUGUUAAUUCAGUUGUGUGGCUGGGGUUGAACAAGUGGCGCAAAGCUGAGAGCUGUCUUGUGUUCAGUUUGUUUAUUUUUAAAAGCUUGUGCUUCCUCCCAUUUGUCUUGGCCAUUCAGUUGAAUAUAUUCAACAAAGAAAUAGGAACUGUGUACAACUGGAAGCAUUUCCAGAUGGGUUCUGUGUUACAAGAGGAAAUACAAUCUGUGGGACAUGUAUAACAAUAUAUAGAAACAAAGGCUGUACACCUCUGGCUUGAAAGUACAUUUAGCAUAGUAAAUCCUCAGAGUACACCUGGAGGAGUGAAAUGUGCUCACCAUCAGCACAUGCUGCUGCUAGUGCCUCCCUCAAAUAAAAUGUUCAAGGAGGCAGGGUAUAGGAGUGAGAAUAAACUAUUAAAUGCCUUGUUAUCUCUCAAGCCAAGUGACAGAAUUUCUGCUGGAGAACUGAGCUGUUUUGCAUCUUAUCUUAUAUAUGUAGAGCUGGAAACACAUAUGAGAACACAAUAUCAGAACCAAACCCCAGACCCCGAUGUGUUGGCUCUGUAAGCUUCCUCCAGGGGAUUUUACAGAAACCAUGGCUUCAUGUCUCGUUGCACAUGUCUAAAUAAGUAGUAAAGACAAGCAUUUUGCAUUAGAGAUGGUACAGUACAACAGCAAGGUUAUUAAUUUAUUUGCCCCUGGCAAAAGCAUUUCAUGGCUGUAGCCAUCAGCUCCAAUUAUUUGUUACAGCGUCUCGACUUCUUUGAGUAUUGUUUAUCCAACAGUAUUUAUGUGGAAGCUCAUUUGUGAGAGGUUUAAACAUUUUUUACAGGGUGAAGUUGGUAUGUGUUUAGCAUAAAUACAAAUUAUUUUAGAGAAUGAGGGGAAGACACCGACCAAAAUUGGCUGUAAACAGCUGCUGAAUUCACAACAGGGAGCUGGACUUAAAUGGGUUUUAAUACUUCAGAUUCCUCCCCAAUCCUUUUAUUUUCUCCAAAGCAAUUUCCAGCAAAACCACAUCUUAUUUCCCCUUGCUGAGACAGACCUAAGCAUCCCCCAUUCUUUGAGAAUGUCCAAAUUCCUGUAGGCAGACGCCUAGGAAUGUGUAAUUUAAAAACAACAAAAAGAAAGUAAAUAGAUGAGGAGAAGAAAAAUAUGAUAGCUGCAAGGGUAAUACUGCAUUCAUAACCAGUUAAUAAAAUAGACAAAUAUAAAGUGUCCUCUUGACUGUAAAACCUUAGCAGGUAGGUAUUAGCACUUGAUUUAUAUUCUUACAUAUUUGAUAGGUAAAAAUUUGAUUUGCAUUUCAUAUGCAUACUGCUGCUAUUUUUGCAUGUCAUCUUACAACAGAUGCUGCUCUGUAGAAAUGACAGGUGGAUAAAUCCCAGAUUCUUUUAUCAGAAUGAGGAUUUCUGGAAGUUUUUCUCCUCCCUCAAAAAAAAAAAAAAAAAAAAAUCAAGCAUCCUCAUUCCUGCCUUGAUGAUCAAGUGAAAGGACAAAGUAAUGUUUCUAAGGUGUGUAAGUUUUCAUUUUCUUGUGGGAAAUGUUGGUGACCUUGUUCUAUCCUGAGCUACCUCUAUUCUGCCAGCAGAUUCCAGAAACCCCCUGAGAUAUUUUUAGAAAUUAACUUCAUGGCUAAGUUAUAUAUGAAUAAGAGAGCAUGCAGAAAGGCAAAAAAUAGGGAAAACUUUAAAACAGCAAGAUAACACUUUUGUAUAUUUUUUGCAGAAAGAGCUAAGGAGAUUGUUUCUCAGAGUUCUUUGCCUGCUCAUGGUUUUAGGGAGGGUUGCUUUUUCCAUCAAUUUAUCUGUGACCUGGAGGAGCCAUGGUGACAGAUUCUCAGAUUGUCCCCAGAGUCAUUCAAGCCCUGGGGUGAUGUUUGUUCUGCCUCUAACAAAGGCCAAGAUAUUGGAUUAUAGCAUACUCCCUGCCAUAAAUUUAGUAUUUCCUCUCUUUAAAACCAUCAAUUUACUGUCAUUAUGUUCCUUCAAAAGUCUUUGCAACUGAAACCUUUCCAGAAGGCAAAAAAUUAAAUUUCCUGCCUGAGAAGUUGAGAGAUAAAAUCUGCCUGGGUUCCUGUUUCUCUGACAAAGUCCUACCAUUGGAUAAAAUAUGCCAAUUGGACUUCUUUUGAUAUUAUUGGCAUCAUGAAUUGUUACAUGGAAGUUUUGUUUCCUCAGCCUUGGGUGAAUUCUUUUGCUGAUAUGUCCGUUAAAUAACGGAAGUGGUUUUGAAUAUGACAUGAAAAGGAGAAGUUGCUGUGCUGAUGACAAAUGCAUGUACAAUACCCCUGUAAGCACUUCAGCCUUUAUAACUCCAGAUUUAUUCCCGAUGCUUGGUCAUUCCCUGUGUUAUAUUGUUCCUUUUAUGACGUGAAGAACAAACUUUGAGAGGAAAGGAAGCUGUCUCAUGCGUUUUGAAGCCUUGUUUAAGCUAAAAGCCACUGCUAUCACUUUGUGGGUAGUCUCACACCUUGGUUUUUGAUUGUCCUGUGCUGCUGGAACUGGAGUUCUUGGAUGUGUGUCUCUUUUCUCCAUUGUGUGAAGCACAUAUCAUGAAAGUGAUGUUCUCCUUCCAGAAGUUCUCAGCUGGAAAUGAUAGAACAGAAGUAAAGGUAGGAAGCAGUAUCACAAAAUCAGUUGAAAAUGAUAAAAAGAUCCAGUUACUCAGCCUGCUUGAGUAAGACUAAGUGCAGUAGACUUGCAGGCAAAGUGAAAAGUGGGGUUUUUUUCCCCAAAGCAGAAAGAUUUGCAGGAUUUUCUAAAAAUAGCCCUUCAGCUGUUGACUUUUUUGAAGCAGACAAGUAAAGCAGAUUAAAUUAAUACUCAAAACAAUCAGCAAACAUGAUGCUUCUGCGGGCACAACUGUGGGACAAAGAGACUAUUUUUCUGUGUCAGUGAUAUUCCUGAAAUAUGGUAGGUGCAGUUAAUUUCAGAUUUGAUGGUUAUUAACAUUUCUGAAAUGUCUGAAACACUGGCUUGGCUCUACUGUAAUGCACUUUUUGAACUGAUAGUGUUUUGUAAUCCUGUUGUUUGGUGAUGAAUAUUUGCACGUUUUCUUGGGCUUGUGCCCAUAAUUUACAAGGAGAUGGUUUGUAGUCUGCAGAAAACCCCAGAAAAUUUCUUGUCUGGGUGUACUCAGACAAACUGAAAUAAACCUUCAAUGCCAAGAUAUGAUACAUGCUAUUCCUGCUUUGAACACUACCUUCAUCACAUGUGACCUUGGUGUUUGAUGAUUUGGCACAUUGCCACAGCAGAAUUCGAUGAUCCACUGGAAAUCGUGAUUCUUUCAUGUGGAAAACAAUAAAAAGCAUAUGGUAUCAAUUAUACUUCACUAUUUCUUUGAGAAUUCAAGCACCAGAAAUAAAAAACACUGUCUGAAGACUUUGAAUUUCCAUUAACUGGAAACAGUUGGUAUAAAUUAUUUUUACUGAAACUGCUCUACUGGCCCUGGGUAAUAAAAGCAAAAAUAACAUUGGCAUUUGAUUGACUUCAUAGGUGCAAGGUAUGUCAUGCUCAGAGGGAGCAUAAAGUUCCAGGUUGGGCAAUGGAAUCAUUUUAUUAAAUACCAUAUUUGUCAUGGAGAAGCUCUUGGGAGAAUCAGUGUCCUGUUACCUUAAUUUCUACUGCACCUCUGCUGAGCUUGGUCAUUUGCUGGCCAAAUAAACUGGGU